Herpailurus yagouaroundi (jaguarundi) is the source of this 214-nucleotide long non-coding RNA. RefSeq lists it as uncharacterized. NCBI's taxonomy places the organism in Eukaryota, Metazoa, Chordata, Mammalia, Carnivora, Felidae. The record is from RefSeq and is a predicted model, not a curated record. The transcript has 3 exons.
AGGGGGAAAAAACCUGUAUGAGAAUCUGAUUCAACAUUCAAUCUUUUUAAAGUCACCAACUCUAACUAUGUGCUUUCAUUUUAUAUUCACAAACUAGUUAUAAUGAAUUUUGAUAGGUUUUUUUGUCUAUAUGCAUCAUAGGGUAUAAACCUCCCUCUAAUUCUUAUAGGCAACAGAAAUUCUACUUUUAAAUGACCAGUAAAUUGUAGUGGCC